UGGGGAAUAUUGCACAAUGGAGGAAACUCUGAUGCAGCGACGCCGCGUGAGUGAAGAAGGUCUUCGGAUCGUAAAACUCUGUCCUUGGUGACGAAAAAAAUGACGGUAGCCAAGGAGGAAGCCCCGGCUAACUACGUGCCAGCAGCCGCGGUAAUACGUAGGGGGCGAGCGUUGUCCGGAUUUACUGGGCGUAAAGGGUGAGUAGGCGGUAAUAUGUGUCAGAUGUAAAAGGCUAUGGCUUAACCAUAGUUGGCAUUUGAAACUGUAUUACUUGAGUGCAGGAGAGGUAAGUGGAAUUCCUAGUGUAGCGGUGAAAUGCGUAGAUAUUAGGAGGAACACCGGUGGCGAAGGCGACUUACUGGACUGUAACUGACGCUGAGUCACGAAAGCGUGGGUAGCAAACA
Molecule: ribosomal RNA, 404 nt
Filed under: uncultured bacterium
Lineage: Bacteria
Description: bacterial SSU rRNA
Rfam family: Bacterial small subunit ribosomal RNA
Source: RNAcentral